RNAcentral lists this non-coding RNA (24 nucleotides) under Arabidopsis thaliana (thale cress). The record is from RNAcentral. Lineage: Eukaryota; Viridiplantae; Streptophyta; Magnoliopsida; Brassicales; Brassicaceae.
CAAGGAUGUUUUCAUUAAUCAAGA